UACGAAGGCAGCAGUGGGGAAUAUUGCACAAUGGGCGCAAGCCUGAUGCAGCCAUGCCGCGUGUAUGAAGAAGGCCUUCGGGUUGUAAAGUACUUUCAGUCGUGAGGAAGGUGUUAAGGUUAAUAACCUUAGCAAUUGACGUUAGCGACAGAAGAAGCACCGGCUAACUCCGUGCCAGCAGCCGCGGUAAUACGGAGGGUGCGAGCGUUAAUCGGAAUUACUGGGCGUAAAGGGCACGCAGGCGGUUAAUUAAGUUGGAUGUGAAAUCCCCGGGCUUAACCUGGGAAUGGCAUUCAAGACUGGUUAGCUAGAGUCUUGUAGAGGGGGUAGAAUUCCAUGUGUAGCGGUGAAAUGCGUAGAGAUGUGGAGGAAUACCGGUGGCGAAGGCGGCCCCUGGGACAAAGGACUGACGCUCAUGUGCGAAAGCGUGGGGAGCAAACAGGGAUUAGAUACC
This 454-nucleotide ribosomal RNA is filed under the name uncultured bacterium. RNAcentral's name for it is "bacterial SSU rRNA". It matches the Rfam family "Bacterial small subunit ribosomal RNA", at positions 340 to 786 of the family's 1533-position model. The record is from RNAcentral.